ACAAACUUGGUCAUUUAGAGGAAGUAAAAGUCGUAACAAGGUCUCCGUUGGUGAACCAGCGGAGGGAUCAUUAAAAGAGUGUAACAACUCCCUAAACCCCUCUGUAGACUCUUGCAGUUGACGUAACUCUUCGGCGGGCUUCUUUUUCUCACGAGAAGAAAGACUGCCGAAGGGAAACCCAAACUCGUUUUAAUUUUUGCAGUCUGAGUUCUAUAAAAAAUACAUGAAAACUUUCAACAACGGAUCUCUUGGUUCUGGCAUCGAUGAAGAACGCAGC
This 277-nucleotide unclassified non-coding RNA is filed under the name uncultured fungus. RNAcentral's name for it is "partial contains small subunit ribosomal RNA, internal transcribed spacer 1, and 5.8S ribosomal RNA". The stretch from base 1 to 73 matches the Rfam family "Eukaryotic small subunit ribosomal RNA", at positions 1759 to 1831 of the family's 1831-position model. The record is from RNAcentral. Lineage: Eukaryota; Fungi.